CACACUGGAACUGAGACACGGUCCAGACUCCUACGGGAGGCAGCAGUGCUGAAUUAUUCGCCAAUGCGCGAAAGCGUGACGGUGCGACGCCGCGUGCGGGACGAAGGCUUUCGAGUCGUAAACCGCUGUCAGGGUCUAGGAAACCGCAGUCGUUAAUAGCGGCUGUGCUGACCAGGCCCAAAGGAAGCACAGGCUAAUCUCGUGCCAGCAGCCGCGGUAAUACGAGAUGUGCAAGCGUUGUUCGGAAUCACUGGGCAUAAAGGGUGCGCAGGCGGCUUAGUAAGUCAGGGGUGAAAUCCCUCGGCUCAACCGGGGAAUUGCUUUUGAUACUGCUAAGCUUGAGAGCGAAAGGGGCAAGUGGAAUUCCAGGUGUAGCGGUGGAAUGCGUAGAUAUCUGGGAGAACGCCGAUGGCGAAGGCAGCUUGCUGGGUCGCUUCUGACGCUCAGGCACGAAAGCUAGGGGAGCAAACAGGAUUAGAUACCCUGGUAGUCCUAGCUGUAAACGUUGGGUACUAGGUUCCGGGAUUUCUGAUGAUUUCGGGGCCGCAGUUAAUGCAUUAAGUACCCCGCCUGGGGAGUAUGGUCGCAAGGCUAAAACUCAAAGGAAUUGACGGGGGCUCACACAAGCGGUGGAGCAUGUUGUUCAAUUCGAAGCAACGCGAAGAACCUUACCUGGCCUUGACAUGCUAGAAGUACGAACCUGAAAGGGGGAGGACCGGUAUCCAGUCCGGAACUAGCACAGGUGCUGCAUGGCUGUCGUCAGCUCGUGUCGUGAGACGUUGGGUUAAGUCCCGUAACGAGCGAAACCCUUGUCGUCUGUUGCUACCAGGUAAUGCUGGGCACUCUGGCGAGACUGCCGGUGUUAAACCGGAGGAAGGUGGGGACGACGUCAAGUCAUCAUGGUCCUUACGGCCAGGGCUACAAACGUGCUACAAUGGCAGGUACAGAGAGAAGCGAUACCGCGAGGUGGAGCAAAUCUUCAAAACCUGCCCCAGUUCGGAUUGGAGGCUGCAAUUCGCCUCCAUGAAGUUGGAAUCGCUAGUAAUCGCGGAUCAGCAACGCCGCGGUGAUACGUUCCUGAGCCUUGUACACACCGCCCGUCAAGCCACCCAAGCUGGAAGCACCCGAAGUCCGGCGCC
RNAcentral lists this ribosomal RNA (1139 nucleotides) under uncultured organism. Its description in RNAcentral is "bacterial SSU rRNA". It matches the Rfam family "Bacterial small subunit ribosomal RNA", at positions 309 to 1435 of the family's 1533-position model. The record is from RNAcentral.